GUGCUCACUUCAGCAGCACAAAUACAAAAUGGAAAUGAUACGGAGAUUAGCAUGGCCUCUAUGAAAGGAUGACAUGCAAAUUCAUGAAGCAUUCCAUAACCAU
This is a small nuclear RNA of Nycticebus coucang (slow loris), 103 nucleotides long. Lineage: Eukaryota; Metazoa; Chordata; Mammalia; Primates; Lorisidae. The record is from RefSeq and is a predicted model, not a curated record.